This is a long non-coding RNA of Ctenopharyngodon idella (grass carp), 1879 nucleotides long. RefSeq lists it as uncharacterized. Lineage: Eukaryota; Metazoa; Chordata; Actinopteri; Cypriniformes; Xenocyprididae. The record is from RefSeq and is a predicted model, not a curated record. The transcript is spliced from 2 exons.
GAAUAUGAUUGACACUUAAAACCUUUCCAAAAAUGUGACAGAAGACCACAGAUAUCAACAGGCAACAAACUCAACAACUGGAGUGAUCAAUUUACGGGCUCCUUUCAUGAGAAUUCAAAUUCUCUUGAGCUUUUAAAAUAAAAAAUGUACCAUGUAAACACACUGUAAGUUUAAGAACUGAGAACUGAGCCACAAAAAUUACUCGUUGUGAACUGCUGAAACUCACGCCAUCUAGAUGAAAACAUUAACAUACGGUAUGAUCACCAACAUUUACAUGCAAACGUCUAUUUAUAUGUUCAGAAUCUUGGCCUGGCCAUUCAUAAGGAGUAAUAAAAGAAGAAGAUGUAAGAAACUAUAUCACUACUACUCCUAAACACUAGACUAACGAUAAGUGUAAAAUGAGGGAAAGUUUGACAAAGCUUGAGCUGUUCCUGACUGGAUAUAACUCCUAAUGCUCUGUAAAUAGGUCUGAAGGAUCUCAAGAAAUGAGUGGAGAUUUUUUGAACAUCUGAACAAUUUGAGUGCCAUAUUUCAGCACAGAUUGUUUAGUGAAUCUUACUAAUGUCUUAAAGUAGUGCAACUUUGCAAAGAGGCUGAUUCUGAAGGAUGGAGCAGCGUAAACAAUAUUGAAGCCAACAGAAAACACUACAAAAAAACCCUUGGUGGAACUCAGGGAAGAGAGAGAAAAAAAAAAAAAAGAAAAAAAAAGGUAUCUAGAAAGAAUCUUUGCCGCUAUGUUUGUCGCCGAGUUGUUUCCCACUUUUAUACUUCAUGCCCUCCUGUAAUGAAGCGAUUUGCACUUUCAUUAUCUUUACAGUAAUCCCGCACUGUUUGAGAAGAUUGUCGUCACUUUCUCGGUCCUUCUGACCUGAGACAAAUCGCCCUUGACUGAGCCAACUAAAGCCGAACAGAGCUUCAACGUUUCUGGAACACUCCUCCCAUCAGCCAUGAACUGGACAAUCGGAUAGUCCCGCCCCAAACUUACACCAUUGGUUGAGAUGCUACAAGCGUCACAGACUCACACUGUUUACACUCUUCGGGGAAAUAAAACUCUUACUUAUAGCCGUCUCUGCGCUAGGACUUGAGAAAGUAUUUUCACUUCGAAAAAUUACACAUAGCUGCUUUAAGUGUCUACAUACCUUUUGGGACCACUGUAUAUUCCCAUUUAAACUUUUAAAAUGUCAAAUCUUCAUCCAUAAAGCUCUCAAACUUUCAACACUGUCUGAUCGUGUACGUUGCACAUGCCAGUCUCACAACAUAAAAUCACAGAUGACAUCUUUAAACACCACUCUCUGGCCAAACAAGGAAGCGCACACACACACACACACACACACACACACACACACACACACACACACACACGCACGUUUGUUUUUGUGAAUUGCGGGGACAUUCCAUAGGAGUAAUGGUUUUUAUGCUGUACAAACCGUAUUUUCUAUUGCCCUACACUACCCCUACCCCUAAACCUACCCAUCACAGAAAACUGUGCACAUUUUUACUUUCUCAAAAAAAACAAAAAACAAAAAACUCAUUCUGUAUGAUUUAUAAGUCUCUUGAAAAAUGUGGACAUGGGGUAAUGUCCUCAUAAGUCACCCUCUCCUUGUAAUACCCAUGUCAUACCCAUGUCAUUAUGUCUGCUAUCCUCAUGUUCACAUUUAGGUCAAAUGCUACUAUUAAACAUAAAGCACUUUAAAAGCGACAUGAUUGAUCACCUUUAAUGUCAUUGACUUGAAUGGAAGAGAUGCUAUUUAAUUCUAAGUUAACAAAUGCUUUUGAGGUGUAAAUGUUUUACAAGAGUAUAAUGGUUGAAUGUUUGUAGUUAUGAGUUACUGCUGUAUUUUAAUGUAAUUUAUCUGUGUCAAUAAACAAAUGAAAAUGC